AGUGAACGCUGGCGGCAUGCCUAACACAUGCAAGUCGAACGGCAGCACAGUAAGAGUUUGCCUCUACGGGUGGCGAGUGGCGGACGGGUGAGGAAUACAUCGGAUUCUUCUAUUUCGUGGGGAACUACGUAGAGAAAGUGAUGAUACUACAGAAUAUAUCCAACGGCUGGAAUCAGGAGUUAUUGACACUUUGGGUGUUAGAAUGAGCCGAUGCCGGAUUAGCUAGUUGGCUAGGUAAAGGCCCACCAAGGCAACGAUCCGUAGCCGGUCUGAGAGGAUGAUCGGCCACACUGGAACUGAGACACGGUCCAGACUCCUACGGGAGGCAGCAGUAGGGAAUAUUCGACAAUGGGCGAAAGCCUGAUGCAGCCAUACCGCGUGAGUGAUGAAGGUCUUCGGGUUGUAAAACCCUGUUAUUAGGGAAGAAAAACAGUGUAUUUAUACCCGGCUGUUCUGACGGUACCCAAACAGUAAGCACCGGCUAACUUCGUG
RNAcentral lists this ribosomal RNA (492 nucleotides) under uncultured bacterium. RNAcentral describes it as "partial 16S ribosomal RNA". It matches the Rfam family "Bacterial small subunit ribosomal RNA", at positions 29 to 507 of the family's 1533-position model. The record is from RNAcentral.